RNAcentral lists this ribosomal RNA (252 nucleotides) under uncultured bacterium. Its description in RNAcentral is "partial 16S ribosomal RNA". It matches the Rfam family "Bacterial small subunit ribosomal RNA", at positions 524 to 776 of the family's 1533-position model. The record is from RNAcentral.
UACGUAGGUCCCGAGAGUUGUCCGGAUUUAUUGGGCGUAAAGCGAGCGCAGGUGGUUUAUUAAGUCUGGUGUAAAAGGCAGUGGCUCAACCAUUGUAUGCAUUGGAAACUGGUAGACUUGAGUGCAGGAGAGGAGAGUGGAAUUCCAUGUGUAGCGGUGAAAUGCGUAGAUAUAUGGAGGAACACCGGUGGCGAAAGCGGCUCUCUGGCCUGUAACUGACACUGAGGCUCGAAAGCGUGGGGAGCAAACAGG